Molecule: ribosomal RNA, 468 nt
Filed under: uncultured bacterium
Lineage: Bacteria
Description: partial 16S ribosomal RNA
Rfam family: Bacterial small subunit ribosomal RNA
Source: RNAcentral
GACGAACGCUGGCGGCGUGCUUAACACAUGCAAGUCGAACGGAAAGGCCCUGCUUUUGUGGGGUGCUCGAGUGGCGAACGGGUGAGUAACACGUGAGUAACCUGCCCUUGACUUUGGGAUAACUUCAGGAAACUGGGGCUAAUACCGGAUAGGAGCUCCUGCUGCAUGGUGGGGGUUGGAAAUUUUCGGCGGUUGGGGAUGGACGCGCGGCUUAUCAGCUUGUUGGUGGGGUAGUGGCUUACCAAGGCUUUGACGGGUAGCCGGCCUGAGAGGGUGACCGGCCACAUUGGGACUGAGAUACGGCCCAGACUCCUACGGGAGGCAGCAGUGGGGAAUAUUGCACAAUGGGCGGAAGCCUGAUGCAGAAACGCCGCGUGCGGGAUGACGGCCUUCGGGUUGUAAACCGCUUUCGCCUGUGACGAAGCGUGAGUGACGGUAAUGGGUAAAGAAGCACCGGCUAACUACGUG